This 83-nucleotide transfer RNA is filed under the name Prevotella sp. CAG:755. It matches the Rfam family "tRNA". Rfam says of the family: Transfer RNA (tRNA) molecules are approximately 80 nucleotides in length. Their secondary structure includes four short double-helical elements and three loops (D, anti-codon, and T loops). Lineage: Bacteria; Pseudomonadati; Bacteroidota; Bacteroidia; Bacteroidales; Prevotellaceae. RNAcentral also lists the same sequence under 1 other name. The record is from Rfam by way of RNAcentral.
GGGCAAAUUCCAGAGUGGCCAAAUGGGGCAGACUGUAAAUCUGCUGGCGUUCGCCUUCGGUGGUUCGAAUCCAUCUUUGCCCA